AUUGAACGCUGGCGGCAUGCUUUACACAUGCAAGUCGAACGGCAGCGCGGGGCAACCUGGCGGCGAGUGGCGAACGGGUGAGUAAUAUAUCGGAACGUACCCAGAAGUGGGGGAUAACGUAGCGAAAGUUACGCUAAUACCGCAUACGAUCUACGGGUGAAAGAAGGGGACCGCAAGGCCUUAUGCUUUUGGAGCGGCCGAUAUCUGAUUAGCUAGUUGGUGAGGUAAAGGCUCACCAAGGCGACGAUCAGUAGCUGGUCUGAGAGGACGACCAGCCACACUGGAACUGAGACACGGUCCAGACUCCUACGGGAGGCAGCAGUGGGGAAUUUUGGACAAUGGGCGCAAGCCUGAUCCAGCAAUGCCGCGUGAGUGAAGAAGGCCUUCGGGUUGAAAAGCUCUUUUGUCAGGGAAGAAACGGUAGAGGCUAAUAUCCUUUGCUAAUGACGGUACCUGAAGAAUAAGCACCGGCUAACUACGUG
RNAcentral lists this ribosomal RNA (482 nucleotides) under uncultured bacterium. RNAcentral describes it as "partial 16S ribosomal RNA". It matches the Rfam family "Bacterial small subunit ribosomal RNA", at positions 30 to 507 of the family's 1533-position model. The record is from RNAcentral.